Molecule: RNA transcript, 2142 nt
Organism: Brassica rapa (field mustard)
Lineage: Eukaryota; Viridiplantae; Streptophyta; Magnoliopsida; Brassicales; Brassicaceae
Source: RefSeq, a predicted model, not a curated record
CUCAGUCUCCAGCGAGAGUUAUCAACCACUCCUAAAGAAAUCUGCAAAAGUGUCGCCUACACGUGUUCGAACCUGAAGGUGUGGUCCAUAAAAGAGAUUUAGAUAAGUUUUGCAAAGCUCUCAUCUUUUUUAAUUGAGCAGUGAAUCUGGCAUUGUUGUAAUCUUCUUACUCUGAUUCUAUUGAAAACCAUUUCUUAUACAUAUGUUCUUCGCACCAACACGAGAGAAUUGGUAUGACAGCUACACGAGUUUAUGUACUUAUCUCUUGAAAGUUUACUUCAACAAGCAUAUUUGAUCUUAAUGAUACAAUAGAUAAAUGGUGUAGCAAAUAAAAGUCUUAUAGCAGUUGGCGAGACAAAUCUUAUCUUGAAAAAGACUAUUCACCAUGUUUCUACAAUGCUGAAGAGGGUACCCCUUAAGCCGAGAAAAAAACUAUAAUCUCUUGAUUCCCACGUUAAUGUAUGUUUAAUAAUCUCCAAAUCUCUGUCAAGCAUAUAUUUGUGCUCAAUAUCUUGAAUGUGUUUUAACUUACUAACAAAAUGUGUAAACUGGCUUACUUUGUGAUAAUUAAUUUUUUAGGGACAGAUGAACUGGUCAAUGGAACAUAGCCAGCAUGAGCCUAAGACUGAGCUUUGAUAGAGGAACGAAAGGUACUGAUACACAAUUCUUCUCUUUUUGACGCAAUUGUUUGAUUUGUCAAGGGUGUUUUAGCAUUUGAGAUCUUGAACAUAGAUUUAUCCUUCAUGAAUAACUUUUACCUCCCACUUAUUUAUUUGCUUGCCACCGACUGAUUCUAUUGUUAUGUGAACGUGUAGUUUCCUACACUUCUGCACCAUUUGGAGAUUAUAUUGCUUCUCCACUACUACUAAAUAUACAUGGUUACAAAAAGCUUUUCCUGCAAACUAGAGUAAUGUACUCAAUUUUGAUUCAUCUCAAUGGUCAAUGUGUCUCUGAAGGUGGUUCAAAGAAAUCUGCUGAAAAUGGGUUUAUGACAGGAGGUGGCUGUAAUAGCUCGAGCAGCAGAGUAGGAAGACAAACCUGGUGAUUUAUUUUUCUUUGAAAUCGCAUGUGUAUGCACAUUAAUCUUUUCUUAAUGUACACAUUAUUGAGUAUUGAAUAAAUUUGGAGGGGAUAAUGUCACCAAUGUCAAAUUCGAUUAUCAUUAUUUGCCUGAUUCAAGGUCCAAGUUGUGGAGUAGAAGUUGGAAUGCGGCUCUGGAGACAAAUCAGUGUUGGGUAGAUAAGGAAUGUCUUAAACACCUGAAAAGAAGUAAGUCACAAGAUUCAUACACCACAGAAGAAGUAAGACACAAGAGUUGGAAGUGGUGACGACAAUGUAAGAAGGAAACUAAAAGAAUAUUUGUAAUGGGAAGAUUAAAAAAGUUUCUACGGUUUGUGUGUUCCUGAGGAUUCGGUUUGGUGUGUUUUGUUUUCAUAGCCAAAAUGGUGCUCUUAGUAAAAUACAAAUAUAGAGAUGGAACGAUAAUUUCAAAUUAAAAUUAGUUAUACAAAGCUUAGCUGAAGUAGCAGUAUGUUAUAUAUAUAAAAAAUAAAUUUCUAAUGGGUUCUUAAAAGAUAGUUGUAUAGAAUACGAUUUACAUUACAUAUACGACUGAAUAUAAUUCCAAGUGUUGAUUAUAUUCACUAAGUUCAAUGUUAAAAAACUUCAUAAAGCCACUUAGAAAUAUACAUAUUCAUAACCAAUUUUUAAGGAUUAAGUGUAUGUAUUUUCUUGAGCCCUCAUAUAAUAUAUAAACUGAAAUUAUUCAUAUAUACAAUAAAAAUUACUUUCUCCAUUUUCUAAUAGAUGAGGUUUUAGAGAUUUUUUUCCAAACUAUAUACCGUUUUUAAUUUUUAAUAUGAAAUUUAUUAUUUUUAUGAUGGUUUUUAAUAGAUAGAUAGUGAAGGUGUUCUUAUUAUAAAAUAUAUAGAGAAACAAACUAAAUGUUUUUUAAUUUAUGUGCAUAAAUACAAAACAUCAAGAAAUACAAACAGAAAGAACAUAAUACAUUUAUUCAUGUAUAAUUUAAAUUUAUAACUAUUUAUAUUCUACUCUUAUCAUUUGUAGAUGUUACUGUUAAGAACUAAAUAAGAGUCAUGCAUUUUGGUUUAAUAUAUAUUAUUCCUUGCUACGUACCAAUAA